Molecule: transfer RNA, 67 nt
Filed under: Pronothobranchius seymouri
Lineage: Eukaryota; Metazoa; Chordata; Actinopteri; Cyprinodontiformes; Nothobranchiidae
Description: tRNA-Tyr
Rfam family: tRNA
About the family: Transfer RNA (tRNA) molecules are approximately 80 nucleotides in length. Their secondary structure includes four short double-helical elements and three loops (D, anti-codon, and T loops).
Source: RNAcentral
GGUAGAAUGACUGAAAUAGUGGUGGAUUGUAGCUCCAUAAAUAGAGGUUAAAGCCCUCUUUUUGCCA